CAUGCAUAAUUUCUCCACAGGUAUAGAUCAAUUGAUGCUUGGAAGCGCUGCACCUCAAUUGCUGUGAAGGAGACAAGGAAGAAGGAGAUAAGGCAAGAGCUGCUGAACACUUCCAAACUAAAGACAUUCUUUGAAGACAACCCCAGGGAUCUAGAAGUUCUGCGCCAUGAUGUGCCCAAGCACGGCCUGAAGCCAAUGACCCAUCUGAAGAAUGUACCGGAAUACAAUAUCCCUGACCCUCUGCGAACUGUAUCCAAAGGUGGCAAAAGGUUGAAGUUCAACAAAAACAUUCCCAAGGCAAAAUUGAAAAAAAUGUCAAAUACACACAGAAAAUUUCAGGAGAAGAAAGGCAACCCUCUAAAGAGUAUGGAAUUUACUGGAUUUAAGAAAAGGAAGUGAUUGUGAUGAUUUAUAUAUUUUGUUAUUUGUGAGAGGGUGUCUAUAUAUCUUGUAUUAGGUGUAAUAAAGCAUUUGUUAUC
Molecule: long non-coding RNA, 479 nt
Organism: Penaeus indicus
Lineage: Eukaryota; Metazoa; Arthropoda; Malacostraca; Decapoda; Penaeidae
Exons: 3
Source: RefSeq, a predicted model, not a curated record